UACAGAGGUGGCAAGCGUUGUUCGGAAUUACUGGGCGUAAAGGGCGCGUAGGCGGCCAUCUAAGUCAGACGUGAAAUCCCCCGGCUUAACCUGGGAACUGCGUCUGAUACUGGACGGCUUGAGUAUGGGAGAGGGAUGUAGAAUUCCAGGUGUAGCGGUGAAAUGCGUAGAUAUCUGGAGGAACACCGGUGGCGAAGGCGGAUCUCUGGGCCUUACCUGACGCUCAGGCGCGAAAGCUAGGGGAGCGAACGGG
Molecule: ribosomal RNA, 253 nt
Filed under: uncultured bacterium
Lineage: Bacteria
Description: partial 16S ribosomal RNA
Rfam family: Bacterial small subunit ribosomal RNA
Source: RNAcentral